RNAcentral lists this small nuclear RNA (112 nucleotides) under Genlisea aurea. Its description in RNAcentral is "U2 spliceosomal RNA". It matches the Rfam family "U2 spliceosomal RNA". Rfam says of the family: U2 is a small nuclear RNA (snRNA) component of the spliceosome (involved in pre-mRNA splicing). Complementary binding between U2 snRNA (in an area lying towards the 5' end but 3' to hairpin I) and the branchpoint sequence (BPS) of the intron results the bulging out of an unpaired adenosine, on the BPS, which initiates a nucleophilic attack at the intronic 5' splice site, thus starting the first of two transesterification reactions that mediate splicing. Lineage: Eukaryota; Viridiplantae; Streptophyta; Magnoliopsida; Lamiales; Lentibulariaceae. The record is from Rfam by way of RNAcentral.
AUACCUUUCUCGGCCUUUUGGCUAAGAUCAAGUGUAGUAUCUGUUCUUAUCUAUCAUUACGUGUGUAACGUACAACUAUUGAUAGAAACAUGAUUGAUAUAUUAUACUUUCC